Pan troglodytes (chimpanzee) is the source of this 141-nucleotide non-coding RNA. It matches the Rfam family "Metazoan signal recognition particle RNA". From Rfam's summary of the family: The signal recognition particle (SRP) is a universally conserved ribonucleoprotein. It is involved in the co-translational targeting of proteins to membranes. The eukaryotic SRP consists of a 300-nucleotide 7S RNA and six proteins: SRPs 72, 68, 54, 19, 14, and 9. The record is from Rfam. NCBI's taxonomy places the organism in Eukaryota, Metazoa, Chordata, Mammalia, Primates, Hominidae.
GCCGGGUGUGGUGGUGUGCACCUGUAAUCCCAGUUACUUGGGAGGCUGAGUCAGGAGAAUUGCUUGAGCCCAGGAGGUGGAGUGAGCUGAGAUCACAGCACUGCACUCCAGCCUGAGCGACAGAGCAAGACUCUGUCUCAA